Hibiscus syriacus is the source of this 143-nucleotide long non-coding RNA. RefSeq lists it as uncharacterized. NCBI's taxonomy places the organism in Eukaryota, Viridiplantae, Streptophyta, Magnoliopsida, Malvales, Malvaceae. The transcript is spliced from 3 exons. The record is from RefSeq and is a predicted model, not a curated record.
UCAGCUGGCAGUCUCGGUUGAACAUCUUGUUCGCUCUCUCGGUCGUGCUCCUGUCUUGCGUUCCGUUCUUGUUGUGUCCACCUUUGAGCUGAAAAUUGCAAAAACAAGGGUGUUUUAGAGAUUCGAAAUCAGUCAAAGAAAAC